CCUACGGGGGGCAGCAGUGAGGAAUAUUGGUCAAUGGCCGGAAGGCUGAACCAGCCAAGCCGCGUGAAGGACGAAGGUGCCAAGCAUUGUAAACUUCUUUUGUCAAGGGACAAAAUCAGGCUCGAGAGCCUGACCGAGGGUACUUGAAGAAAAAGCAUCGGCUAACUCCGUGCCAGCAGCCGCGGUAAUACGUAGGGGGCUAGCGUUAUCCGGAAUUACUGGGCGUAAAGGGUGCGUAGGUGGUUUCUUAAGUCAGAGGUGAAAGGCCACGGCUCAACCGUAGUAAGCCUUUGAAACUGGGGAAC
RNAcentral lists this ribosomal RNA (305 nucleotides) under uncultured bacterium. Its description in RNAcentral is "bacterial SSU rRNA". It matches the Rfam family "Bacterial small subunit ribosomal RNA", at positions 338 to 641 of the family's 1533-position model. The record is from RNAcentral.